GACGAACGCUGGCGGCGUGCCUAAUACAUGCCAGUAGAACGCUGAAGGAGGAGCUUGCUUCUCUGGAUGAGUUGCGAACGGGUGAGUAACGCGUAGGUAACCUGCCUGGUAGCGGGGGAUAACUAUUGGAAACGAUAGCUAAUACCGCAUAAGAGUAGAUGUUGCAUGACAUUUGCUUAAAAGGUGCAAUUGCAUCACUACCAGAUGGACCUGCGUUGUAUUAGCUAGUUGGUGGGGUAACGGCUCACCAAGGCGACGAUACAUAGCCGACCUGAGAGGGUGAUCGGCCACACUGGGACUGAGACACGGCCCAGACUCCUACGGGAGGCAGCAGUAGGGAAUCUUCGGCAAUGGACGGAAGUCUGACCGAGCAACGCCGCGUGAGUGAAGAAGGUUUUCGGAUCGUAAAGCUCUGUUGUAAGAGAAGAACGAGUGUGAGAGUGGAAAGUUCACACUGUGACGGUAUCUUACCAGAAAGGGACGGCUAACUACGU
RNAcentral lists this ribosomal RNA (494 nucleotides) under uncultured bacterium. Its description in RNAcentral is "partial 16S ribosomal RNA". It matches the Rfam family "Bacterial small subunit ribosomal RNA", at positions 28 to 506 of the family's 1533-position model. The record is from RNAcentral.